CCUACGGGAGGCAGCAGUAGGGGAUAUUGCUCAAUGGGGGAAACCCUGAAGCAGCAACGCCGCGUGGAGGAUGAAGGUUUUCGGAUUGUAAACUCCUUUUGUCAGUGAAGAUAAUGACGGUAUCUAACGAAUAAGCACCGGCUAACUCCGUGCCAGCAGCCGCGGUAAUACGGAGGGUGCAAGCGUUACCCGGAAUCACUGGGCGUAAAGGGCGCGUAGGCGGGAUAGCAAGUCAGAUGUGAAAUCCUAUGGCUUAACCAUAGAACUGCAUUUGAAACUGUUAUUCUAGAGUAUGGGAGAGGUAGGUGGAAUUCUUGGUGUAGGGGUAAAAUCCGUAGAGAUCAAGAGGAAUACUCAUUGCGAAGGCGACCUACUGGAACAUAACUGACGCUGAUGCGCGAAAGCGUGGGGAGCAAACAGGAUUAGAUACCCCUGUAGUC
RNAcentral lists this ribosomal RNA (440 nucleotides) under uncultured bacterium. RNAcentral's name for it is "partial 16S ribosomal RNA". It matches the Rfam family "Bacterial small subunit ribosomal RNA", at positions 338 to 795 of the family's 1533-position model. The record is from RNAcentral.